UAAGCAAAAACCCACUUAGUUCAUUUAUCUCAGAAGUGGAAUUUUAAUUUUAUAAAUCAGCAAAUCCCAAUGAUUUUAUGAUCUGGGGUUCUUCUCAUAGUACUGGAAAUGGAAAAUUCUGUUCAAGAAAUGCAUCAAACACAGCCUGAAUUUGAUUCUUCUGCUCAUUCUAAUACAAAUGGAGAGAGAGAGGAAGCUACUUUAGUGCAGCAGCAGUCAACAAGACGGCCAAACCUCUCAUCUCUGCAAAUACCUACAAGAUCUUUGGAAAAUGCUUUAUCCAGCUUUACAAGAAUAGAUGUUCCAAGUCCUAACUCUGCCAGAUCAGGGUUGCCCCCAAGGCCCCACUCUGCCAAGUUCAUGUCAUCUAUGA
This 373-nucleotide unclassified non-coding RNA is filed under the name Hevea brasiliensis (rubber tree). The record is from RNAcentral. Lineage: Eukaryota; Viridiplantae; Streptophyta; Magnoliopsida; Malpighiales; Euphorbiaceae.